UAUGUGAUUGCUGGUUCAUAUAGUAGGUUUAUAUUUAACUUUGUAAGAAACUGACAAACUGUCUUCCAAAGUGGCUGAGCAAUUUUGCAUUGCAACCAGCAAC
Molecule: microRNA precursor, 103 nt
Filed under: Marmota monax (woodchuck)
Lineage: Eukaryota; Metazoa; Chordata; Mammalia; Rodentia; Sciuridae
Source: RNAcentral